Molecule: non-coding RNA, 331 nt
Filed under: uncultured fungus
Lineage: Eukaryota; Fungi
Description: partial 18S ribosomal RNA
Rfam family: Group I catalytic intron (bases 9-291)
About the family: Group I catalytic introns are large self-splicing ribozymes.
Source: RNAcentral
UCCUUCUGUAGCAGAGCUUAACGGAGACCUUGCACCCGAGAGGGGGAGGCGACUAUAAAAGAACUCCCAGCGCAAGUCAGCCUAGCUGGCAACACAAUCGAAUUGCGGGGACGCUUUAAAGCCCACCGGUACCAACUGCUCCUCUGGGGCGGGGCCAGCUAUGCUGGAGGUCACAACCCGGUAGGAUACUACAAUAAGCAAUCCGCAGCGGCUCAGCCGUCCACAGACUAAGUGGUUGUGGGUAGGGAUCCCCUACUUAAGAUAUAGUCGGGCCUUGUGACAAGUCAUAAGGGCUUCUGCGUCCGUAGGUGAACCUGCGGAAGGAUCAUUA